RNAcentral lists this RNase P RNA (364 nucleotides) under Patescibacteria group bacterium. Its description in RNAcentral is "RNase P RNA component class A". It matches the Rfam family "Bacterial RNase P class A". Rfam says of the family: Ribonuclease P (RNase P) is a ubiquitous endoribonuclease, found in archaea, bacteria and eukarya as well as chloroplasts and mitochondria. Its best characterised activity is the generation of mature 5'-ends of tRNAs by cleaving the 5'-leader elements of precursor-tRNAs. The record is from RNAcentral.
GGAAAGCGCCAGGCAAUUGCUCUUUAAAAGGAGAGGAAAGUCCGAACACUCUCUUCGCUUCGGCGAAGGAAGGUAGCAGGUAAUCCCUGUACGCUCAUAGACGCGUGAGCGAGCGCUGCGAACAGAGACGCCGAGCCGCGAAAGCGGCGAGGCAUCCCUUCGGGAUGAGCUUCGGCGGUAACGCCGGAGGUGAAACGGCAAAAUGCGUACUUGGGUGCAAGGCUGUGCCGGACACCAUUCGUUUGAAUGGCGUCUGGAAUGCCGCUCGAGCCGGGAAGUGAUUCCCGGCCCAGAUAAAUAAUUGCCGCGCUUUCCGCAUGAAGCGGGAAGAGCACAGAAUUCGGCUUAUCGGCGCGACGCGUCC